AUUGAACGCUGGCGGCAGGCCUAACACAUGCAAGUCGAGCGAGCGGCGGACGGGUGAGUAAUGUCUGGGAAACUGCCUGAUGGAGGGGGAUAACUACUGGAAACGGUAGCUAAUACCGCAUACCAUCAGAUGUGCCCAGAUGGGAUUAGCUAGUAGGGGGGGUAACGGCUCACCUAGGCGCCGAUCCCUAGCUGGUCUGAGAGGAUGACCAGCCAAACUGGAACGGAGACACGGUCCAGAUUCCUACGGGAGGCAGCAGGGGGGAAUAUUGCACAAUGGGCGCAGGCCGGAGGCAGACAUGCCGCGGGUGGGAAGAAGGCUUGCGGGUUGUAAGGCACUUUCAGCGGGGAGGCGUUACCCGCAGAAGAAGCACCGGCUAACUCCGUGCCAGCAGCCGCGGUAAUAC
RNAcentral lists this ribosomal RNA (406 nucleotides) under uncultured bacterium. RNAcentral's name for it is "partial 16S ribosomal RNA". It matches the Rfam family "Bacterial small subunit ribosomal RNA", at positions 29 to 526 of the family's 1533-position model. The record is from RNAcentral.